GGGAAACCUUCUUGGAGGCCCCAGGAUAGAGCUCUGUGUGUUUUGGGAGCCAACCCUGCCACGUGACACACCCCCACACCAGCCACCCUGGGCGGCAGACCUGGAAAUGCGUGUGAUGUGCUCAACAGACAGGGUAAAGCAGGCUAGGUGUGGAGUGGACAAACCGAGCCAGGCAGAGCUGCUCCUGUUGAGAGGUGGUGAGGACACCAUGGCUGGAGUAGAGGAUCUGGUGGGAACAGAGCUGCGCUGCACAGCCCCUAGGGCAGCUCACUUGUCAGGCAGCUCACUUGCCAAGCAGCUGAGGUGAGGACUCUGGUGCUGCUGAACUCCGGGCUGACGACACCCAGGCGCACAGCAGGGAGGGUCUGCUGUCCUUGAGGGACGGCAGUGGUGACUGCUGUGCUGCUCUGCUGCCCCCGCACUUGGGAAUGGGGCAGCUCCUGAUGUUCCUGCCUGAACCGUGGGCUGAUCCAGUUUCCAGAGACUCAUGCCAGCUCACCAGGACCCAAAUGCUUCAAGGAUUGAAAAAUGCACCUGUCCUGUUUGGUGAGGCCCUCUAGAAAGAAUUGGAAACAGGACUCUAUCAAAAGAACAAAAAUUGCGACACGAGCCACGCGUAACCCAGGAAGAGCAUGCACAGAUCCGCCCAAGUCGCUCCUAACUGCCAGCCCUGCAGGGCAGCUACACACAG
This is a long non-coding RNA of Fukomys damarensis (Damara mole-rat), 691 nucleotides long. RefSeq lists it as uncharacterized. NCBI's taxonomy places the organism in Eukaryota, Metazoa, Chordata, Mammalia, Rodentia, Bathyergidae. The record is from RefSeq and is a predicted model, not a curated record. The transcript has 3 exons.